UGAACUGUAGCUUAUGAAAAGCAUCUCGGUUACAUCGGGAAGAACAUUGUUAUAGUGUAGUUUAU
Molecule: transfer RNA, 65 nt
Filed under: Synalpheus microneptunus
Lineage: Eukaryota; Metazoa; Arthropoda; Malacostraca; Decapoda; Alpheidae
Description: tRNA-Val
Source: RNAcentral